This 72-nucleotide transfer RNA is filed under the name Marmota marmota marmota (Alpine marmot). It matches the Rfam family "tRNA". Rfam says of the family: Transfer RNA (tRNA) molecules are approximately 80 nucleotides in length. The record is from Rfam by way of RNAcentral. Lineage: Eukaryota; Metazoa; Chordata; Mammalia; Rodentia; Sciuridae. RNAcentral also lists the same sequence under 1 other name.
UGGAGAGUAGCUCAGUGGCAGAGCACUUGCCUAGCACAUAUGAGGUUCUGGGUUCAAUACCCAGCACUAUAA